RNAcentral lists this long non-coding RNA (772 nucleotides) under Olea europaea subsp. europaea. The record is from RNAcentral. Lineage: Eukaryota; Viridiplantae; Streptophyta; Magnoliopsida; Lamiales; Oleaceae.
ACAUUUGACAAUCUACUUCUAUUAACUUAUAUUUUCACUGUAUAUAAGUUGAGGGUUUCUGUAAUUAUACCAAAAUUUCCUUCUAUAAAUACUCAGACGGGAAAAUAAUUUCUAAGCACAAAAAAUCUCCCCCUCUUGAAAACCCUUCUUGUAGCAAUGACCAAAUCCAAUGUCAUUUGCACUACUAUUCUUCUUCUUUCACUGUUUUUCUCCUAUGGAAUUCUCUCUACUGAGGCAAGGCCUCUGAUGACACAGAAGAAUACUAAUGGCAGUAAAUUUAUGACUAACGAGGAGAAAACUCCAAGUGUAAUGCAUGUUAUCAGGGUCGAUAAUCACAUGUUACGUGGUAAGUUUUCAGAAAAUAAAGCGCAAAAGCCAGACAGUAGUGCAGAAAGUGAUCGCCCUAUAGUCGAUAAACUUGAGACUGAGAUUGAAGGCGGAGAUUUUCGGCCGACAACACCCGGACACAGUCCUGGAUUUGGCCAUGGUAAUGGACCUUCAAGCAUAGAAAAGGGUGUGUAGACAAAUUAUCUCCUGUAUUUGCCUAGUAAACAAGUGUCUAGUAUUCAACAAAUUAUAUAAGUGUUUAUCAUUAUGUUUAAAUGCAAUCUUCUUGCAACAGUCCAUUUCUUGAAAAAUAUCCGUAAGAUUUGAAAAUUGACCAGUACUUGUAAGUUUAUUAAUGUUGUUAAAUUAUCCUUUAUAUAUAAAUCAUGGUAUUUGUUUAAUUUUUCUUUUGUAUUUGAGAUACUGUUGGGGUGGUCGAGCUUAU